Molecule: ribosomal RNA, 358 nt
Filed under: uncultured bacterium
Lineage: Bacteria
Description: partial 16S ribosomal RNA
Rfam family: Bacterial small subunit ribosomal RNA
Source: RNAcentral
CCUACGGGUGGCAGCAGUGAGGAAUAUUGGUCAAUGGGCGAGAGCCUGAACCAGCCAAGUCGCGUGAAGGAUGACGGCCCUACGGGUUGUAAACUUCUUUUGUCAGGGAGCAAUUUGGUCCACGCGUGGGCUUCGCGAGAGUACCUGCAGAAAAAGCCUCGGCUAACUCCGGGCCAGCAGCCGCGGUAAUACGGAGGAUGCGAGCGUUAUCCGGAUUUAUUGGGUUUAAAGGGUGCGUAGGCGGAAUAUCAAGUCAGCGGGAAAAAUUCGGGGCGCAACCCCGUCGUGCCGUUGAAACUGAUGUACUGGAGGGGGCGAGAAGUAUGCGGAAUGUGUGGUGUAGCGGUGAAAUGCAUAG